GAUGAACGCUAGCAGAACGCCUAACACAUAGCAAGUCGAACGGUAGCAGGGAGCUUGCUCCGCUGACGAGUGGCGAACGGGUGAGUAAUGCAUCGGAACGUACCCAGUCGUGGGGGAUAACGUAGCGAAAGUUACGCUAAUACCGCAUACGUCCUGAGGGAGAAAGCGGGGGACCGUAAGGCCUCGCGCGAAUGGAGCGGCCGAUAUCAGAUUAGGUAGUUGGUGGGGUAAAGGCUCACCAAGCCAACGAUCUGUAGCUGGUCUGAGAGGACGACCAAGCCACACUGGAACUGAGACACCGUCCAGACUCCUACGGGAGGCAGCAGUGGGGAAUUUUGGACAAUGGGCGCAAGCCUGAUCCAGCCAUUCCGCGUGCAGGAUGAAGGCCUUCGGGUUGUAAACUGCUUUUGUACGGAACGAAACGGUCUGCCCUAAUACGGCGGGCUAAUGACGGUACCGUAAGAAUAAGCACCGGCUAACUACGUG
This 486-nucleotide ribosomal RNA is filed under the name uncultured bacterium. RNAcentral describes it as "bacterial SSU rRNA". It matches the Rfam family "Bacterial small subunit ribosomal RNA", at positions 28 to 507 of the family's 1533-position model. The record is from RNAcentral.